AACUAAUUAAUCUUACAAAGAUGAAGAACUGUAAAUUCUUUUAUUUCCACCAUUAAU
Molecule: transfer RNA, 57 nt
Filed under: Mesabolivar sp. ITV1036I2
Lineage: Eukaryota; Metazoa; Arthropoda; Arachnida; Araneae; Pholcidae
Description: tRNA-Tyr
Source: RNAcentral